AUUGAACGCUGGCGGCAUGCCUUACACAUGCAAGUCGGACGGCAGCGGGGGAGAAGCUUGCUUUUCCUGCCGGCGAGUGGCGAACGGGUGAGUAAUACAUCGGAACGUGCCCUGUAGUGGGGGAUAACUAGUCGAAAGAUUAGCUAAUACCGCAUACGACCUGAGGGUGAAAGUGGGGGACCGCAAGGCCUCAUGCUAUAGGAGCGGCCGAUGUCUGAUUAGCUAGUUGGUGGGGUAAAGGCCUACCAAGGCGACGACCAGUAGCUGGUCUGAGAGGACGAUCAGCCACACUGGGACUGAGACACGGCCCAGACUCCUACGGGAGGCAGCAGUGGGGAAUUUUGGACAAUGGGCGAAAGCCUGAUCCAGCAAUGCCGCGUGUGUGAAGAAGGCCUUCGGGUUGUAAAGCACUUUUGUCCGGAAAGAAAUGGCUCUGGUUAAUACCUGGGGUCGAUGACGGUACCGGAAGAAUAAGGACCGGCUAACUACGUGCCAGCAGCCGCGGUAA
Molecule: ribosomal RNA, 508 nt
Filed under: uncultured bacterium
Lineage: Bacteria
Description: partial 16S ribosomal RNA
Rfam family: Bacterial small subunit ribosomal RNA
Source: RNAcentral